RNAcentral lists this ribosomal RNA (254 nucleotides) under uncultured bacterium. Its description in RNAcentral is "partial 16S ribosomal RNA". It matches the Rfam family "Bacterial small subunit ribosomal RNA", at positions 524 to 776 of the family's 1533-position model. The record is from RNAcentral.
UACGUAGGCAGCGAGCGUUGUUCGGAGUUACUGGGCGUAAAGGGUGUGUAGGCGGUUGUCUAAGUUUGGUGUGAAAUCUCCCGGCUCAACUGGGAGGGUGCGCCGAAUACUGAAUGACUUCGAGUGCGGGAGAGGAGAGUGGAAUUCCUGGUGUAGCGGUGAAAUGCGUAGAUAUCAGGAGGAACACCGGUGGUGUAGACGGCUCUCUGGACCGUAACUGACGCUGAGACACGAAAGCGUGGGUAGCAAACAGG